This 457-nucleotide ribosomal RNA is filed under the name uncultured bacterium. RNAcentral's name for it is "bacterial SSU rRNA". It matches the Rfam family "Bacterial small subunit ribosomal RNA", at positions 28 to 507 of the family's 1533-position model. The record is from RNAcentral.
GGUGAACGCUGGCGGCGUGCCUAACACAUGCAAGUCGAGCGGUGGCAGUUUGAAGCUUCGGUGGAAAGCUGCAUAGCGGCGGACGGGUGAGGAAAACGUAGGAACGUGCCCCUUGGAGUUGGAUAGCCACGGGAAACUGUGGGUAAACCGACAUAGACUCGAGAGAGUAAAGGCCGAAAGGCGCCAAGGGAGCGGCCUGCGGCCCAUCAGGUAGUUGGUAGUGUAAAGGACUACCAAGCCGACGACGGGUAGCCGGUCUGAGAGGAUGGCCGGCCACAAGGGCACUGAGAGACGGGCCCUACUCCUACGGGAGGCAGCAGUGGGGGAUUUUGGACAAUGGGCGAAAGCCUGAUCCAGCGACGCCGCGUGGAGGACGAAGCCCUUCGGGGUGUAAACUCCUUUUCUCAGGGGAAAAAGGAUGAUGGUACCUGAGGAAUAAGCCCCGGCUAACUACGUG